Molecule: long non-coding RNA, 5326 nt
Organism: Ailuropoda melanoleuca (giant panda)
Lineage: Eukaryota; Metazoa; Chordata; Mammalia; Carnivora; Ursidae
Exons: 3
Source: RefSeq, a predicted model, not a curated record
UAACCGACUGAGCCACACAGGUGCCCCUUAUAUCUGUUCUUUUACCCUUAGGAAGCUUAUAGUCUAGGGGUAAAGACCAAUGAGGAAAGAGGAAAAUUCAGUGCUGUUUUAAUUGGGCUUUUACUUACUAGAACUAAGAUUCAUCCCAUUCUUUCUUCAUGUGUUAGAGAGGUUAGUAUAGAGAUUAUUAUUAGAAUAUAAGCACACAACAAUCCAGGGAAAGCUGAGCCUCCUGACAUCAGAAAAUGCAAGAAUUGAAGGUAGUUCUGCAUCCUGGUGGCUCUGGGAUUUCAGUGGUUUCCGAGCAGGAGUUCAGAGCCCGCAAUAUAGUCUCUUGACUUCUCUGUCUCUUACCCUUCUGCUUAAUUGUGGUUUCUGCUCUCUUAAAACUUUUUCUUGUGAGGGACCAGUCUUGAUUUUUCUCUACAUAAUGGGCUUUCAGAAUUUGCCCGUGCUUCUAACUUUUUAUAUUUCUUAGUUCAAAAGACUUAAAAACAUGAUAGAAUUGGUCCAGGUCAUGUUUUUCAAAGCAACCAUGGCUGCCCUUUGACACUCUGUGCCUACCCCUGAUUUCAUCAACUGCAACAAGGGGGUAAAAGUCACAUGGUAAGAACAGGUCUAAGAACUGUAUGUUCAUCAAAGGGUGCGGGAGGAGGCAUAGAACAGGCACUGUGUUGAUGUGCCUACUUCAAAUUUAUCCUUGAAAGUACUAGGAUGUGAUGGUACACAGAAUUCCCUAAGGUUACGGAAUUGGACCGCUUGGUCAAGUCUGAGAGAAGUCAGAGCAUACGCUGUAGGAAAGAUGACACUUAAGCAGUGUCAGUAAGGUUUAGUCAGGGUUAGCUAGUUGAAGGAGUGGGAAGCUGUGUUAGGCAGAGAACACAGCAUGAGAAUGGAAUAGAGGCAAGAAGAAAUGUGUUUCAGGGACUGAACCACAUAGAGUUUAAUCUUCCUGAAACUGGAAUAGCUAAGCCCAGAAUGGUGGGAGGUAAGAAUAGAGCAGACAGGACCUGUUUGGAAUGCAUGGCAAAAGUAAUGGGAACUGUUGUCUUAUGCAGGGAAAUGGCAAGGUCACAUAUACAUUUUAGAUACUUCAUUCUGAGGGCAGAUGGAAGAUGUAUAUGAACAUGGCAGGACUGGAGGCAGAGGCACAAGGUAGGAGGAUAAUUCGGGUAAGAAAUUUAAAGAAUGCCAACUGGAAAAUGCAAGUAGAAGUAAGAGGAGGUAAUAUAUUGCAGAAAUAUUACUUGAGUAAAAUCAAGUCUACUUAGUAACUAGUUAAGAUGUGGUGGGUGAUAGAGAAAAGCCCAUGCUUCAGUUUGACAAAGUUGGUGGAUGGUGGUGUCAUAGUUGAGACGAGUAGGAAAUAAAGGAGACUAGCUCUGGGGGAAGGGUGUUGGGACAGAGGUGAGACAGAAGGAGCUGAUAUGUUGCAGGUACAGAAGAAGUAAAUGACUGAGAAUAAGGGGGAGAGAAGUAAUAUUUUAGUCAAGGAAGAAGUCCAUCCAGAUUUCUUCGUAUCACUGAGAGAAGGUACAUUGGGAAGUUGACGAGGUGGGGCAAAUAUGAAAGAUAAUAUGAAAGAAAUUAACAAUUCACCCAAAAAGAGAUGUAGAUUCAUUCUCUUAGUCACAGAUGACCACAUCAUCUGGUGUCCCGAGAACCACAUGCUCCCAACCUGAGACCUUGCUGGACCUCCAGUGAAAUCCAUUCCUUUUGAUCCUGAUGAUGUAGUAGGAAGGUAUUCAUUAAACUAACAGGAAAGUGUAGUUGGGGACACUAGGCCCUUCCUUUGAACAGAUACCCACACUGUGGUGUACUCUAGUAAGUAAUUUAGAAGACAAAAUUUGCUUACUGCCUGCAAAUGAAUUUGAUAAAUUGAAGAAUUACUUAGGACAAUGAGGUAAGUGGGAAACAUUGAGGUUAGUAAACAAAAGAAGAAAAAAGUCAAACUACCAAAAGAAUAGAAUACAUGAUUGGUUUACUUUAGAUGAGAAUGAUGGAAAAAAGAUGGGUCAUAGUGAACUAUGGAUUGAAGAGGAUUCAAUAAUGUAAAAAAGCAAGUGUGAUAUUAAAAUACAUAAAUCAAUCAUAAUAUUAAAGAUCUAAAUAGAAGUAUACAUAUAAGAACAAGCAGAGAUUCAUCUUCCUGGGGAGUCAGAUUCCUAAUCGAAUACUGUAUCUGUUAAAGUUCUUUGAUUCUUACUGACAGAAACAGACACUGAAUAUGAUUUAGGAUGAUUUCAAUUAUAAAUAAUAGAAAACCCAAUCAAAAUGGCUUCAACAAGAAAGGGAAUCUUCUCCUUCAUAUAACUAAAAAGUUCAAGGUUCAGACCUCUUUAAGGAUGUGGUUUCUUUGUUUUCAUCACAGUUAUCACAGUGUUGGCCUCAUCCCGGGACUAAUUCUUCUUGUGAUGGGAAGAUAGUUCCUAGUACUGAUACAACUAGGUCUUCAUGCUUCACAUCCAAUGAGAAAGAACAAGUUUUAAGAUAAUUCCCACAGAAGAGAGAGGUAACCUCAUUCCCAGAAUUCCUAACAAACAUGUCUUAUAUUUGGCCCAGAUUCAGUUAUGGCCCAUUUCUGAACCAUUUGCUGUGGGCAAAGGGAGGAGAUGUGAUAGUUAGCUUGAGUCCAUCAAAAUCCACCCUUAGAGAGAAAGAUGAAGUGAAUUCCACAUCAAAUCCAUGGCUGGGAUGUCCAGGCCCUGUUAGGAAGAAGCAAGGGGGCAUGUGGGAGGUAAAACCAGCCAAUAUCUACCACAGUAUGAAGCAGGAAAGGAUGUUUUGGGGAAGCCUGGAGGGUAACUCGGCAUGAUGCUUCAGCUUCCUGAGGGAAAGGCUAGAGUCCACCUCGGACAGACGGCAGUAACUAGGUCAGCUCCUGGAGCCUAGGGACCUAGGACCAGCUAACAGUUAUUUCAGAGCAUGCUGCCAGAAUGAACCGCCGGAUUGUUUUUAACCUCUUGUUUUACUCUGCAUACAGUUAAAGUCACACUAGGGAGAGUUGGCCAAGCUUGGUUGAUGAGCUCACAACUCAGCUAAGAGAGGUCAGAGAACCUUGACUGCUGGUCUCAAGAAAACUGUUCAUAACUGAGGAGAGAGAAUUAUUUCUGAGGACACUGAGGUGGUUUUCUAAAGAAAGGCGGAAAGGAAUCUGAAUUGCCCCAAACAAGUGUCCACUAUAAGUAUUAUAUUCCAAAUAUAAAAGGGGUAUAACGAACUUAGAAUGAAGAAUUAAGUAAAGAAGAUAAUUAUAGGACAAACACUUUGGACAGAAAAUAUGCUAUAAUAACAAAUUUUUAUGGAGUACCUAAUGUAUGCAAUGUGCUAUAUUGAUAUAAAGAUCUGUAUGAUAUCCUUUCUACCCUUCUGGACAAUACAGUGAAUUUUAGAGCUAGGAGGAAAGGAACUUAAAGUUCAUGCAAUCUGACAUCUUAUUUUUAAGGUAAAGAGAACAAGGUAAAGAAAGGUCAAAUCGUGAAUUUUGACACAGCAUUAGUCUAAACUAUCUGCUGUCUUUCUCUUAUGCUUUAUCUACCUGCUUAGUUCUGCAAUGGUCAUAAACAAAAUAAACUUCAGAGAAAGGACCCAGAAUUAUCUCAGCUCGGAGAUAAGACUGAGAAGAGAUUGGAAUGUCUUCUCUGUCAUCAAGAAGGGCAGGUCAGAACCCAUUGUUAAGACUCUAGUUGUUCAAAGUCACCUUAAAACAAGAGUCACUAGUUGGAGGAACAAGAACAUUUGCUCCAAGGUCUUUCAGUAGACACAUGGUGGCUGUGAAGGCUGUAUGCUUGGAACUUCUUUCCUGAGGACUAAAAGAAAAGCUAAAUUAAAAAUAAAAUAAAUACAUAUGACUUCCAUAUAGUUAUACCCCCAAACAGAAGAGGGUGAGAGGGGCAGGGUCUCUGACUUUUAAAGGUGCCUUCUGCUCCUCAGAUUUGGCAGCUUCGGGCUCCUAAUUUGCAAUUUAGUUUGAGAAAUGCCUUUUUUCAUAUGCUCCUUUUAAUCUGUUUGCUACUGUAGUACGUUUAAACAUCAGCAGAUGGGGCCCUUGGUUCCUUUGAAGAAUGUCAGGCUUGAAUUUUGUUAAUGUCUGUGGUCCAUAUGAAUUUUUCUUGUUGUUUUACAGCAUGUUAAAUUUGCACACUCUUUAUAGUUCACAAACCUUUGUUUAAUCAGGAAAAAGAAUACUCACUAACGACAACAAAUUCCUUUUUUCCCUCUUCCACUGUUCUAUAGGGAUAAGUUAGAUCUGUUUACAAAUGGAAAAUGAAUAUAACGUAAUACUCAGACAACAGCAUCUUUGAAAGGACAGGAAAAGUCAGUGUCAAAAUUAAUCUGUUGUCCGUAAGUCGGGAAGCUGUGUGGGAGGCUUUCACUGCAUGGGACCAUAGGUGACAGGUCGCAUCCAAGUUACCUUCAUUCUGGAUUACUUUCUUUUUGCUUUCCUGAAUUUCAUUUUGUGAAGGCAUUGUGUGAACCGGCUGGUUUUGAGCACUCACCAAUGAUCAUCAUUUUUUUUAAGUGACGUUUGUUGAUAGUCCGUAAAGAGAACAACGGGUCAUCUGGUCCUUGCAUCUGUUCCAGUGGGGUGAGGCAACACCAGAAACCAACUGAAAACAAAAUCUUUGAAGCUUGACAGCAUCUAUGCUGAAAUCUUCAAGGACCACUCAUUAAGCCAGGAAAUAUGUGCUUACGCUGUGACAGUGGCUGUCAUCUUGGAUUGGCCCCAUUAACCACCUCUGGUCCAUCAAGGCAAUAACGGAAGCCAUUCUCUUCCUCUAACAAGAGAUUGCCAAGAAAGUACACUGCUGCGCAACCAGCUGUUUGAGGAACUGAAGAGGAUGAAAAGAGGGUGAAAACAGAUGGGAUAUAUUUUGCAUUUCUACUUAGAUAUGAAUAUGUACAUAUGAUAUAUUAGGGCAUCUCUCCCACACAUGUCCCUCUCUUCUUGGUACAUUAUGUUAACCAUUUAUCACUUUCAUACGUCAACUUUAUCCAAAAGUUAUAUAUGCUCUUUGUUUCUUAGAUUUACUCCCUUCCUUACACCACUUUUUACUGAGCUAUUUGGUUAAAACUUGUGAAGACAUUUUAUAACUUAUGCUGCAUUGAAGGUACUUUGUGUGGAGGGAAUGUUUGUUUGAAACAAAGCUUAAAGUGUACUGUUUGCUUCAAUAUAGGGAGGAUUCUACAUAGUUGAAAGUGUUUAGAUUGUCCUGGUGCCAGAUUUUUAAAAUCCCACAUGUAAGAAAUAUAUAUUCAUUUUUGUUGAGUUGGAAAAUAUAGAAAGAAGAAAAAUAAAUACAUAAAUAAUAAAUAAAGAAGAAAA